RNAcentral lists this ribosomal RNA (468 nucleotides) under uncultured bacterium. RNAcentral describes it as "partial 16S ribosomal RNA". It matches the Rfam family "Bacterial small subunit ribosomal RNA", at positions 28 to 507 of the family's 1533-position model. The record is from RNAcentral.
GACGAACGCUGGCGGCGUGCUUAACACAUGCAAGUCGAACGGAAAGGUCCUGCUUUUGUGGGGUGCUCGAGUGGCGAACGGGUGAGUAACACGUGAGUAACCUGCCCGUGACAUUGGGAUAACUUCAGGAAACUGGGGCUAAUACCGGAUAGGAGUUCCGGCUGCAUGGUGUGGGUUGGAAAGUUUCGGCGGUUGGGGAUGGACUCGCGGCUUAUCAGCUUGUUGGUGGGGUAGUGGCUUACCAAGGAUUUGACGGGUAGCCGGCCUGGGAGGGUGACCGGCCACAUUGGGACUGGGAUGCGGCCCAGACUCCUACGGGAGGCAGCAGUGGAGAUUAUUGCACGAUGGGCGGAAGCCUGAUGCAGCAACGCCGCGUGCGGGAUGACGGCCUUCGGGUUGUAACCCGCUUUCGCCUGUGACGAAGCGUGAGUGACGGUAAUGGGUAAAGAAGCACCGGCUAACUACGUG